AUGGGAAAAUGGGAAUUUCUACUGGAAAAUCAGGGAAUUUCUCUGGAAAACUGGGAAUUUCCUCGGGAAAAAUGGGAAUUUUCUGGGGGAAAAUGGGAAUUUCUCUGGAAAACUGGGAAUUUCUCCCUGGAAAAUCAGGGAAUUUCUCCCGGGAAAAAUCAGGGAAUUUCCUCGGGAAAAUGGGAAAAGUGGGAAUUUUCUGUGGGAAAAUGGGAAUUUCCUCGGGAAAACUGGGAAUUUUCCUCAGGAAAAUGGGGAUUUGUCCAAGAGAAAAUUGGGAAUUUCUCCUGGAAAAUCAGGGAAUUUCUCCCGGAAAACUGGGAAUUUUCCUCGGGAAAAUGGGAAUUUCUCCUGGAAAACUGGGAAUUUCUCCCGGGAAAAAUCAGGGAAUUUCCUCGGGAAAAUGGGAAAACUGGGAAUUUUCUGUGGGAAAAUGGGAAUUUCUCCUGGAAAACUGGGAAUUUUCCUCAGGAAAAUGGGAAUUUCUCCUGGAAAAAUCAGGGAAUUUCCUCGGGAAAAUGGGAAAAUGGGAAUUUUCUGUGGGAAAAUGGGGAUUUGUCCAAGAGAAAAUUGGGAAUUUCUCCUGGAAAAUCAGGGAAUUUCUCGGGGAAAAGUGGGAAUUUUCUUCUGGAAAAUGGGAAUUUUCCUGGGAAACUGGGAAUUUCUCCUGGGAAAUCAUGGAUUUAUCUUGGAAAAGUGGGAAUUUUCUGGGGGAAAAUGGGAAUUUCUCUGGAAAACUGGGAAUUUCUCCCUGGAAAAUCAGGGAAUUUCUCCCGGAAAAAUCAGGGAAUUUCCUCGGGAAAAUGGGAAAAGUGGGAAUUUUCUGUGGGAAAAUGGGAAUUUCCUCGGGAAAAAUGGGAAUUUCUGCUGGAAAACUGGGAAUUUUCUGGGGGAAAAUGGGAAUUUCUCCUGGAAAAUCACGGAUUUAUCUUGGAAAAGUGGGAAUUUUCUGGGGGAAAAUGGGAAAAACGGGGAUUUGUCCAGCAGAAAAUUGGGAAUUUCUUCCAGGAAAAUGGGAAUUUCUCCCAGAAAAUCAGGAAUUUUCCCUGGGAAAUGGGGAUUUCUCCCGGAAAAGUGGGAAUUUCCUCGGGAAAAUGGGAAAAGUGGGAAUUUUCCAGGGGAAAAUGGGAAUUUGUCCAGCAGAAAAUUGGGAAUUUCUCCUGGAAAAGCGGGAAUUUUCCCCGGAAAAUUGGGAAUUUCUCUGGAAAACUGGGAAUUUCCUGCUGGAAAAUUGGGAAUUUCUCCCAGAAAAUCAGGGAUUUCUCUCGGGAAAAUGGGAAUUUCUCCCGGAAAACCGAGAAUUUUCUGUGGGAAAAUGGGAAUCCCAUUCCCAAGAAUUCCCAGGAAUUCCAUGGAUCAAACGAGAUUAAAAAAAAUCCCAAAUUCCCAUCCCAAAUCCCCUUUUUUUUUUUGGGGGGGGGACACUCUGGCAAUUUUUCCAUCAUUUUUUCCCAUCAUUUUUUCCAUAAUUUUUUUCCAUUUUCCCAUCAUUUUUCCAUAAUUCAUCCCAUCAUUUUUUUCCCAUCAUUUUUCCACAAUUUCCCACCAUUUUCCCAUCAUUUUUUUCCCAUUUUCCCAUCAUUUUUCCAUCAUUUUUCCAUCUUUAUUUCCCAUCAUUUUUCCAUCAUUUUUUCCCAUUUUUCCAUCAUUUUUCCACCAUUUUUUUCCCUUUUCCCACCCCUUUUCCCACCAUUUUUCCAUCAUUUUUUCCCAUGA
Molecule: long non-coding RNA, 1716 nt
Organism: Cyanistes caeruleus (blue tit)
Lineage: Eukaryota; Metazoa; Chordata; Aves; Passeriformes; Paridae
Source: Ensembl